Acinonyx jubatus (cheetah) is the source of this 13116-nucleotide long non-coding RNA. RefSeq lists it as uncharacterized. Lineage: Eukaryota; Metazoa; Chordata; Mammalia; Carnivora; Felidae. The transcript is spliced from 3 exons. The record is from RefSeq and is a predicted model, not a curated record.
UCAUGUGAAUAGGCCUUAUAUUCCAUCAUAUACCUAUGUGGGCUUUAACAUUAAAAACAAACAAACAGUUUUACAAUUUCCAGUUAAACUUUCUAAGGUUUGGCCCCAUCCUCUGAGCAAAAUCAACAUACACCCAUCCUGUCCUGGGCUCCCAUCUCCGGCCUUACUGGGUUACACGCAAUCUGGUUUGAGAACCAAGCAUUAAAAGGUACCAAGGAGGGCUCCGUGGUGGUGUCAUUGAGUCCAAAGACUUGGGCACCAAGACAGAAACUGCUCAGGCAUAGAAGAAGGAGAAGAUUUGGCAAAGCAAGUUUGGAGUCAUGCAGGGUUGAUUUGGGAGCUGAGGGAAGGCACCAGAAGGUCUGAGGAAGGGGGUGGCCAAAGUUCUGACUAUAUAAAGGUUGCGUAAUUAUAGGCACCAUGGGGGUACCACCCGCAUCUUGGGUAGCAGCAUCUCAACUUCCACUGUGGCUUUGGCUGCCAGCCAGAGUGGCAGUUUUAUUGACAGGUUAUUGGAGUCCUUCCCCCCAGCAAGCUUUCAUGAUGAGAUUCAUGUGGCAUGGCGCUUGGGUCUCAGAUAAAAGGUCCUUCAUCUACCCCCUCCAAGGUCAUUAUUUCGCCGCUUAUUAUAAUGCUAUUCUGAUGGAAAGUCCCACCACACUACAAAGAAGCCCCGGACUUAUAAUAAAACCAAAAUUUCUUUGUUUUCCUCCAAGGCAAUUAAAGGGGCAGAAAUAGGUGGGUCCUGAGGCAGGCAUUACAGAGACUUUCCAGAGGCAGGACGCAAGUCUAGGUGUAAGGAGCUCCUUUCUCGCUUCGGCUGGGCUUGGGACAGAUGGAAACGCCUAUCAAUCAGACUGAUGAACAUUUACCCAUAGGGCACAGCACAGGCCUCCUGCUUCCUGACUCUUGUCAGCCUGCUCCAGAGGCCUGUCUUUCCAGCCUGAAGCUGUUCCCCAAUCCUGCCUCCCUCCCUAUCCACGGAGACUUGCGCCUGAACACAGACCAAUGGCAGCACCUCUUCAAGCUUUUUGGUCGCAUCCAUUGAUUGACCAGUGCAGCCUCAUGGGGGCUUUGUCCAAGAAGAGGGUUUAGCUUGUAAAUAUGAGAAGAUUCAAGAAUUGGGUCGACAACAACAACAACAACAAAAACACCAAAACUAGAAUUUGCAUAGAGUGCCAAGAGAUCAGAGGAAUGGAAACUGAGAGCACGAUGUUGAAUAAGAGAUAAGAACACACAGAAGAGGCCAGGAGAAAACCAGAAGAAUCCUCAGAACCACACGGGCUCAUGCUGCUCAGACAAAGCUAGCCUACCUUCCAGUGAGUGAUCCCGGAGAGUACAAAGCUGAGAAGUAGCCAAUGCAACCAAAUCUACGGUCAGAAGACUGGCCCACCCUGCCGAGUGUCCUGCAUGAUAUAAAUCGAGAUGAUUCAGGAAAGAUCUACAGACACGGGACCACAGCCUCUGAGGCCUCCAAAAGCAGUGACAUUUUCCAAGGUGCCCAGACCAGAGCAUCACCUCCAUGAUGCAGUCUGAGAUUUGUAUGUGGCUGAGAAAUACGGUGUUGCCUAUACCAGGCAGCAUAAGGUCAAAAGGGGACAACGUUACCUGUUCCUGAAUGAGUACGGAGUGUGGACAGGAGAAAUGGAGAAAGGAGCAGAGGAGAUCAUACCUGUACUGGCUUCGGGUCACAGCCAAUCGGCAGCCACACAGAGACGCAGGAAAGUACAGGUUACAAGCGGAGAUUCCUUUUUUCCCCUGAUGGUUGCCCCACAGGUGAAAUGGCCGGGGCCACAGAUGGAGUGACAGGAACCAGAAGACAGAUGUAGCUCCCCAAGUGCUGCAGAAGGAAAAUGGCCCCGCUAAGAGAACUUGAACGUCAAAACACAGGCGGAAGUCGUGAGAAGCCGCAGAGCCUCAGGGACGCCCCACCCCAGAGAUGAGCCGUCUGUAAGGCGGUCCUGGUGCUGGUGGGCAGAAAUAUUCCCCAGCGUCUACAUCCGUGGCUUCUGCAUCCCUCACAAAGUGGAGAUGGACCAGGAGGGAGGAUAGCUGUCAACCUCUCUAACUUGGAAGCAUCAUCCCAACACAGCGGAUGGCGACCAUCCAUGGCCAGCAGAGGGGGCAGCACUAACUGCGCCUGAGCCUUGGGGCUUGGUAUCCUAUAAAAAGCUUUAAUAGGCAUUUGGGUUGUCAGACAGGUCCUGGCAAGUCAGAUGACACACAAGGUGGAAAGAGGAGCCAGGUUGGAUUGGACAGUAUGCUCUGAGGGAAAAGGAGCCUGCACAAGUCCCCAAAGGGCCCAGGGGACCUGGACUCCUGGCCUACAACCCCUGUGUCAUUGCUCCUGGCCACAGCCUGAGUCUGUCCUCUUAUUGAGCCAAAGGCUCCAAGGAUAAGGAGAUUCUGAAUUUGGUGGUUUCCAGAUAUUUUUUUAAUUGGGAACUACAGUCCUGGGAAGGAGUUUCAGCAUCUCAGAGAAAAUAUCUCUGUUCUUAGGGACAGGAAAGAAGGCAAAAGGAAAAGUAUUUAUUAACCUGAAAUAAUAAUAAACCUUCCUGCUUGGAGAAAACAUCAAGGAGACCCGCUAGGCUUGGCGUGAGACCACUUACUUUGAUUCCCACCUGUUGGUUGGUGAGUGCAUCUUUCCAACUCUCUGGGCCUUAGACUCGCCAUCCAUAAAGGGGAGAGGCUGGGCCACAUCAUCUGGAAGGCUCCUUAUGAUUCUGAUAGCUUAGGAUAGUGUUGUUGAAUAGAACUUUCUGGAAUAACGGAAAUAUUCUAUAUCUGCAAUCUGGUAUGGUACCCCUAGCCACAUGUAGGUACUGAGCACUUGAAAUGUGGCUCGUGUAUUGAGGAACUGAAUUUUUCAAUUUUAUUUCAUUAAAAAUUCAAUAGCCACAUGUAGUCUGUGGCUACCAUAUUGGACAAGACAGAACAGGUCUAGGAUUUUAGAACCAUAGAUCUGGUUCUGUUCAGUCUAUUGUGUUUAUCAAGCUAAGCACAUUCUAGACAAAUUUGCACGGGGACUGAAAUUAAGAGGGAUUGCCAGUUUGUACUCAGUUAUGAGAAUAUCCACAUGGCCAGAAGCUCCUCUCUCUUGGCAUUCCAGAUCACCGAAAUGCUACCCUCACCUCCCCACUCAGGAACCACAGCUGGCUAAGCAGUGUGUUUGUGUCUCCCAUCAGGCUCACAGCCUCGCCUGCCAAGCCUGCAUGCCGGAUCCUGUCCCGAGAGCCCCAGGCAGCUCCAGGAGCCAAUUCACUUCUCAUCAUUUCUUGGCAAGUCCAGAGGGCAGAUCUUUAAUAGAAACAUCACCUCAGCUCAUUAAAGAAGAACAGUGUGUUUAGAAGUUGAGGUUCAGAAAGGUGUACAAGAUUCCUGUUUCUGGCCCUUUCCUCUUAAUCCGCCAUGGCCAGUCUUGCCAAGUCAGGUCCUCUGCUGAGCCUCUCAGAUUGAGCCCUGAUUUUUUCCUUCCCACUGUCACAGCCUGAGCUGAGGCCCCAUUAGCUUCUUCCACAUACUAGUUAUCAGCUCUGUCCCUGCCCCUCAGCCAUCUUUUUUAUACUCCUCGGUGAAACUUUCUAAAAGGCCACUCCGGCCAUGCCAUCCUUGGGCUCAGAACCUACAGCAGCCCUCCCACAGCUUUCUGGAUGGAGUCCAGGCUCCAUCAGAGAUACCUGGGGCCUCCCCGUGGUCUGACACCUUCCUACCACAUGAGAUUUAUUCCCACCAACCUUCCACAGGGACCCGCUGCUCCAGCCAGCAAGGCCACUCAAGGCGUCUGGAGCCAGACCUUGGCUUCCACGCAGGCCCCACGUGCCUCUACCUCUUUUUUGCUCAGUAGACAUUCAGGCCCAUCUCAAAUGCCACCAGCUGCAGGAAGACUUCCCUGCUCUCCCCAGGCCAGUACUUUGUCCCAGCCUUUGUUAGCAUGUGCUCUUUCUAGGUAGCAAUUUGCCAUGUAGUGGAGUGCUUCGAAUAAGCGCUUCAGGGCACACAGCUGGACCUGGGUUCGAAUCUUGGUCCUUGCAUGUAACUUUGGGCAACUGACUAACCCAUUCUGCACCCCUCAGUUUUCCAUUUCUAAAAUGGACAUGAGGCCUCCCCUACACGGUGGUUGUGCAAGCCGCAUAGGCCGGUCUAUACAAUGUGCUCGGCACGGUACCACAUGCACCAUAUGUGCUCAGGAAGCGGUAGUCAUGGUUAUUAUUAUUUAUACUGGCCCCAGCUCGGUCGCCAAUCAUAGGCUUCCGGACAGUGGGGAUCACUUGCAUAUUUUUUUUUUUGGUAGCCCCUCCCUGCACAGAGCUGUAGUUUGCAAAUACGAGGACUCAGAAUACGAAUUGCUUGAUUUAUCCCUGAGGCCUAACAGCCUAUACUGAGUCCUGGGUCCACUACAUACUAGUUGGAUGACCUUUGGGCAAGUUUCUUAACCUCUCUGGCUCUCAGCUUGCUCAUUUACAAAGGGGAGAAAUAAUGGUACCUUUUUUCACAAGUUGUUGCAAUGUUUAAAUGGGGCACUAAGGAAGUAUCUGGGGGAUGACCCUGGGGGUAUCUACAUGUAAGUAGGCCAUUAGUGAAGACUUUUUGAAUGAAUGAAUGAAUGAUCCCAUUGUAACAGCUGUAAUGAGGUGGGGAGGUGGGGUCAUAACAGUAUUCUUCUCAAUUACAGUAGUUUGGCCUAGGUUUCAGGCAUAAUUAUCUCCCUCUUCUCUUUAUUCCUUUAUGACUUGGCUCUGGACAGAUUGCCUGGCUCUAACUGGCUUAUGGCACGCGGGCCUUUCUAGCAAAUGCCUCCCAAGCCUCCGUGGAAACAGACGAGGCCCAAAAAUAAGUAUAGAAUUUGGCCACUUUCCUCUUGAGCCCAACUGAGUAGAACUGGCUGGUGGAUACAGCAGCAAAGGCGACAAAUAGAGAAAGAUGCUUUUGCAGGGCCACUGGAUGAGGCUUUAUUUGCCAGUUUACUAACAGCACGUGCCCUUGAGUCAGCACAGACAACCAGAAACAUCAGCCAAGAGAACAGUCUGGCUGUGGAAGUGAGAGGCAGUUUUCCAAGACGUGGGGGCCCGGGGCGCCCCCUGCAGAUCUGAGCAUGUAGCACACAGCCCACCUCCCAGCUGGAGGGCUUCCUUGCUGACCACUGAAUGGGGGUCAGACUCCGCCUGAGGAGGCUCCAGCCUCCCAGCUCCGGUCUGUCCAGGAUCCACCGACCCUGAGGGACUUUCAGUAGUGGACCUGAGGACAGGGCACACAAGGCACGCAGACGGUGCGGGGCACACAGAUGGUGCGGGGCACGCUGGGGGAAGGUGCACAAGGGGGACAGGAGGGAGUGGAGCACGGGUUACAGGGCAACCUGCGGAAGACAGGCACAGGGGGCAGGAUUAGAGAAAAGCCCAAGGCAGCAACGAGUGCGCGGCUCUGCCCCCAGAUGCCUCGCAAACUCACCCGCUGCUCACCUUCUCCACUCGGCUUCCCUAAUCCCACCUCCGUCAUCUUUGCCUGUGUAACCCUUAACUGGCCUCCCCAGCCCCACCCCGGCCCCUCCUAACCACUGUCAGCUUUGUGGCCAGAGUGAUCUUCCACAGACACAAAUAUAAGUAUGCCACUCCCUGCCUAAAACGUUCGGUGGCUCCCAUUUGGGCCAGGAUGGAGAGCAGCUUCCUUCAACUCAACUGUCACAUCCUCCUUGAAGCCCUCCAUGAUCUCUCUGUGUCAAAUCCCCCAACGGUACCAUGUGCCCCCUCCCAGAGUGAUGUGUGAUUGUCCUGUUACGGUCUGUCUCCCCAUUAAACAGUGAGGUCAGCAGCCGUGUAUGCAUGCACAUCCUGCAUACCUGGCCUGGAGCAGGCACUUAAUAAGAAUGUGUUGGAUAAGGUGAACUCAGUAAUUAAAACAGAAGGAAGACAUGGCAAAAGGAGAAAGGAUGAUCUCAGAGACCGACAGGUGUGGGCUCAAAACCAGAAACCACAGCCUGGACAGUAGAUGGGAACCAAACAGCCCAGAAACUGGACAGGGAGCCCAGGGACCACAUCCAGCCUGAAAUAUGUUUUGUGUGGCCAGCAGCAUAUUCUUUUCUCAUUUGUUGAAAAUGUUUAAAAAUCAGAAGAAUUUAACAUUUAAAAGACAUCUAGAUUCCCAGUUUCUCGUGAGCAAUCAGAAGAUCCAACCAUACUGGAUGUGCCUCUCACACGGUAGAAACGGUCCUCAUCGGGGGUGGCGCCCUCGCCGGAGUAGACAUCGCUCUUUGGUUCCCCAGGGUCCCACCGUGACCCGCGUCACACAUGUGCAUCAGCACCCUGUUCCUUGAAAAGCAUUUGAUUUUGCAACCCUUGCCCCAGAGGGUGAAACUGAAUGACAGACAAGCAAAGCUGAACAUGGACUAAGAGACCGCCUACAGGGAGCGCCUGGGUGGCUCAGUCAGUUGAGCAUCCGACUUCAGCUCAGGUCAUGAUCUCACAGUUCAUGGGUUCAAGCCCCACGUCGGGCUCUGUGCUGACAGGUCAGAGCCUGGAGCCUGUUUCCAAUCCUGUGUCUCCCUCUCUCUCUGCCUCUCCCCUGCUCAUGCUCUGUCUCUCUCGGUUUCUCAAAACAUAAGAUAAAAUGUUUAAACAAAUUUUUUUAAACAAAAAAAAGAAACUGUCUACAACAGUAAUCAGCCCAGCAGGUGUCCACGGGCCCGAGGUAUCCUGUGCCCAGGUGACCGCCAGGCCUUGCUGAGUGCCUGCCCCACCCGGAUUCCGACUCUCCCCACUGCUCACAUGACCAGGACCUCCUGGACAGUUUCCCUGCCUGGACCCUCUUCCCUCUACUUCCUGCAACCACCUGGGCCGUCUUCCUGAAGAACAGCUUUGAGCUUUCACUGACCCACUCAGGAAACAUUUACUAAGCAUCUACUACAUGCCAGGUGCAGGAAAUAAAAAUAGUUUCUACGAUCUCUGAGUUCUAGAUGAUUACCAUCUCACUGGGGAGAUAGGCCGUUAAGCAAACUCUAUCAUUUCCUCCUCAAAACAAAACAAAACAAAACAAAAAUGAGGGCAUCCCACUGCCUAUUAAAUAAGGUCCUCCCUCCCCAGCAUGGCCUUUAUGGUUCCCCAUGAACGGGCCCCACUGACCUCUUGUGUCUUCCUUCCUUCCCGCCAUAGCCCAAUCACGUUAAGCCACCUAUUGGUCCUCUCGAGUGCAGAAAAAUCUUUCCCCCAAGUAUGAUCUCCAGUUGCCCGUCUCCCUAACCAGACGGAAACAACCUGAGAGCAGAUGCCUCGUCAUCAUCUGUCUCCACAUCCCUAAUGGCACCGGGUACAUGGGAAGCCCUUGGAAGGAGUUUGCUGACUUGGGAAGGAGCGCAGUGGCCUCCAGUGGGCCAGGUUUGGGAUGACAGCAUGAACGCCUGCCUGACUUUCUUUGGAUCAUACCAGCUUCCUAACUGCUUCUUAAUCACGACAGGGCUCUAUCUCCUGGGUAAGCCCUUGUAGCCUUCUCCUAUAGCCUCCUAUAGCCUUCUCCAAACCCAUGUUUGCACCCAUGUGUACAGCCUCAGCUGGGCCCACUCACCUGCAGUCCUCGCCCUCCAGCAGGCGGCGGUAGGUGGCGAUCUCCGACUCCAGCCGGGCCUUGACGUCCAGCAGCACCUGGUACUCCUGGUUCUGCCGCUCCAGGUCACAGCGGAUGUCGGCCAACUGGGCCUCCACGUUGCUGAUCAGGCACUGCAUCUGGGCCAGCUGGGCGCUGUAGCGCGCCUCCGUCUCCGUCAGGGUGUUUUCGAGAGAGUCCCUCUACAGCAAAAGGAAAGACACAGUAGCUGAGGAGCAGACCUAUUCUCCUGGUUCAGAAAGAACCAAGAAAAGCCAGGUCUCUCUUUGGGGUUGGGAAUGACCCCCUCCCUACCUAAGUCACUGUGGAAACUGAGGCCCAGGAAGGUUGAAUGACUUGUUCAAGCUUAAGCAGCUGGCAGGUAACAGACUGGGAUGUGAACCCAGGUCCCCGUGACCCUAAACCCCUUAUUCCUUCUUCAGCCUCGGUCUGGCUUCAGACUUUGGAUCUGAGGUUCCCCAGGCUCCUCCCCGACAGCAUCAUCAAGACCUGUGGCCUUCAGCCCUGGCUGUGCUUUGAAGUCACAUGAGCGCCUUUAAAAGGUCCUUGUGCCCGGCCCCCACCUCCAGAGACUCUGAUUUCACUCAUCCAGAGAGGAACUAAGCAUGGGGAGUUUUUAAAACUCCAGUAGGAAGCCUGCGUUUAGAAGGUUCAGACCAAGCAGAGAACACGCCUUCCUAGGGAGUUGUGUUUGACAGUUGUCCACCUAACCCAUGUCAGGGUUGAGACAAGCCCCUUUGAUCUCUGGGAUGGGUCUUGGGAGCAACCUCAGCCUAGGAGAGGUCAGCUGGGCAAACGUCCGUGGUGGCUGAAUCGGGGCCCCCUCCCCCCGCCUGGAUGCCAGCACCUAAGUGCAUUUGCCGCCUGGGAUCCAGAGACCACCCGGCAGCACCCACCAGGCUGUGCUGGGCCUGCAGCUCGAUCUCCAGCGUGUUGACCGUUCGUCUCAGAUCGAUGAUGUCUGACUGGUAGCUCUGAAGCUGCUCGGAGCUCGUGGCCACCUGCUGAUUGAGCUCCUCCAUCUGCAAAGGGGGAGACAGAAGGGCAGGAGAGCCUUCUCAGGGACCCUAGGGAGGCCGGCCCACCUGCGAGAGGCCCACCUGCAUGUUGAACCAUUCCUCCACGUCCCUGAGGUUGGUCUCCACCACAGUCUCAUACUGACACCGCAUCUCCUCCAGCAUCCUGUUCAGGUCCACAGGCGGUGCAGCGUCGACCUCGAUAUUAAGGCGGUCCCCCAGCUGGCACCGGAGGGCACUGACUUCCUGAAAAGGCACGAGUGUGAGGUCACGUGAUCCCACUCACCACCCCAGGGAGACACAAAAUGGUGGGACAACAGAUGCUAGGAUGUCUAUGUUACAGGGGCCCUUUGAGGCUUGCCGUCCACUCUGCGGAAGCUCUGUGGUCUUCCAGACCCGCUCCGACCGGAUGUUCCCAUGGUGGCGGGAGCGCUCCAUCACACUUCCUGUCACUUUGGCAGAAGCCAAGAGCAAUGCCAGGGUUUGUGUGAUCUCCUCGGGCCAGAAUGGGAAACCCAUGCCCCCGUAUUCCCAGCCACCCUCCCAGCCUGUGUUCGUCUGGGAGGGAGGACAGCAGGAGCCUGGCUUCACUUAGUUCAAGGCCUGAGUGAGAGCAGACGCCUCCCCAGGCUUGGCUGCCAAAGAGAGAAAGUUGUCUCAGAGGCUGCCCGAGUGUGCGAUAAUGCCUCAUUAGUGGCCUCUUGGUGCCGUUCCCAGUUCUCUGAUUUAAGUAGGAUGAGUCAGGUACCUUAGGGCACCCAGUGAGUACAUGGUGACUGAUUGUUACUUUGCAUUUAAGCCUAAGGAAACCCAGCCAGGAUUCAGAGGCACUUGCUCUUUCAAAUCCCAACUCAAGAGGUUGAGAGUCAAUGCAGAGAAGGUGGAGGGUGGGGGGCGCGUAGCACCAGAGGUCCGGUGGUCUAUGCAGCACACAGGUGCCCAGGCGGGAGCGAUCUCCCUCCGCGGACGUGCCGGAGAUGAGGAGGAAAGUCAGAAAAUAAAGUGUCGACCGAUGGAUUUUGGAUUAAGUAUAUUAUAUGCAAACAGGAGCAAAGAAGAAGGAUAGGAUGGGGUCAGAAGAAAGAAAACCACUGCAGUUGACUAUCCCUUGGAAGAGCCCCAGCGGCCGAGCCUUCCGGAGAGGGACAGGCCAUUCCAUGUGAGUUCUGGAACACAACCCCCUCUGGGCCUCAGGCACCACUCUGCCCCCAGAAAGUGAUUCUCAUGAGAAAAACACAAGCAUCUGGCAGUCACACAAGACCAGGAAAUGCAGAAGAGAAGGUUGCUUGCAUUUCUGAGCAGGGACCGAGUGACGGGUGUUUCACACCCAUGACCUCAUGGAAUACUUGCAGUAGCCCCGUGUCAUCGUGCUGCUCCGUUUUACAGGUGAGGAGGCUCAGAAAGGUUCGGUGAGUUGGGCAAGUCACAGAAACAACACACAGCAAGCCUGGGAAUUUCAACCCAAGUCUAUCCAACCCAAAACUGCACGUGCUUCCCAUUCCGCUUCCCGGGGCCACGUCAGCUUGAUUUUAGGGCUCACCUCCUCGUGGUUCUUCUUGAGGCACAACAGCUCCUCCUUCAGGGACUCCACCUGGGCCUCCAGGUCAGCCUUGCACAGGGUCAGCUCGUCCAGGAUCCUGCGCAGGCCGUUGGUGUCGGCCUCCACCAGCUGCCGCAUGGCCAGCUCCGUCUCGUACCUGCACAGGGACAGGGUCAGCAACCGAGGGCUGAAACUGAAUACAGCACUCAGGGAAGACCCACCGCUACUGGCACUUUUCCAACCCUCCCUGAAACUCACGGAGAGCUGCCCCCAAAGAUGUGCGGGGAGGUGGCGGGGGAGGGGGGGUACCCCACCAUCCCCAGGCCAGACUCACUUGGUCCUAAAGUCAUCGGCGGCCAGCUUGGCGUUAUCAAUGUGCACGACCAUCCUGGCGUUCUCGGCCUUGGUGCACAGAACCUGGGGGCCAAGGCACAAGAGGGCGUGCGUUCAGAAUAAGAAGAAAAAAGAGCCCAGAGGAAAAGCUGGCGGCUGAAGGGACUCAGCAGCCUGGUGACCAUCCCUGCAGGAGACCCUCUUCUCUGGGACUCUGGGGAAUAUUUGGUGAACUGCUAGUCCUGGAGAACUACUAGGAUUUAUAUUUGAAGCACCUAGGUUCUUCAUAAAUCCAAACGCCCCACUUUGGUCGCAGUGACCAAUGUGGAAGGAAACAACGUCGUUAAGUCCGAAGUCCUUCGUGGGACAGGCAGACCCUUAACAAGCGCUAACAUUGACUAAAAACUCACCGUGUGCCAGAGGCUGUGUUAAACACUUCCCGUGCAUCAACUCAUGGAAUCCUCUGGACAGACCCCUUAGGUGCGAACCAUUACUGCAACCAGUUUACCGAUGGGGACACUGGGGCCUAGGGAAGGGAAGGCCCCCCUCCCAAAGCCACAAAGUGGUAGAACUGAGUCUAGAUCCCAGACCUCUUUCCAUGUUAAGGACUCUAGCUGAACCCUCAAACUGUGAGACAAUCCUAUGCCCUGGGGAAGUCUCUUUCCCCUGAAUGAGGCUUAAUAAGCUAAUGAGAUUCACAUCUGGAGCUCCAGGCCUUCCGGUUGCCUUCCCAGUGAGUCCUUUCGCCGCUUGCCCUCACCUUCUGCUGGAGCUCCUCGAUGGUCCUGAAAUAAGACUGGUAGUCAGGACACAGGGUGGGCACUUGAGACUGGCAGGCCUCUUGGAUCCUGGUCUCCAGCUCCGCGUUCUCCCGCUCCAGCUGGCGCACCUUCUCCAGGUAGUUGGCCAGGCGGUCGUUCAGGAACUGCAUGGUCUCCUUCUCGUUGCCAUUGAACGUCCCUUCACAGUACCAGCUGCAGGUGCCCAUGGAACUGGCGAUACCACUGGCUGGCCGGCAGCUGCUGGGCCAGCAGGAGCUGGAUAGGUAGGUCUUGGAGAGGCAGCUGGCUGGCAGGUAGGUGGUGGGCGUGCAGACAGAAGGCACGUAUGUCAUGGGCUGGCAGACGUAACCCAGGCACAGCUCGGGCCGGCAGCUCAUGCUGCUGGAGCAGACAGAGGGGGGCCGCGGGCAGCUCUUGAUGGAAGCUGGUGAGCAGUUGGAUACCAUGUCAGGGAGGCCCCUUCGCAGCGACAGCUACCUGGAUUGUCAGUGUCCACAGACCCCAUCCUGCUUGGGCCUUUUUAUACCCCUGGAAUGAGGGGGCUCACGCUAGAAAGUCACCAUGGGGUGGUGUUGAUGUGUAUACACAGCCCCAGAGGAAGCUGCUAAUUAAUUUAUAAUUUGGUUUCCAAUAAGGAACUCCUUUCCUUGUAAAAGAGGCUAAGCUAGUCAUUUGGCUAAAGCAAGACUCUGGGCUCCUGUCAUUGAUCACCAGGGGAGAGCUUCAGGACACAUCUUCAAAGGAUCAGCUUUGGGCUUGGGCCCUCAUUACCCGGGCGGGGCCGCCCGGACACCACAGCACCUGGCCCUGUGCCGCCAAUGCCCGCUGCGCCCCCGCCCGCUCGGGCCCUGAGAAAGGGCCGCAGUUCCGUGGGGUAGCUCUUCCUUUUAAUGAGAGCAUUCCCUGUGGGAAGAGGCCUGACCCUUAAGGAGGAAAUGUGUGGGUGCCAGAAGUUUCACCGAUACUGGCAGUGCUAUAAAUCGAAGGAGCUGGGAAACAGAACCUCAGAGCCUUCUAAACCUGCAUCACCGCCCUACCUAGGGGGAGAAGUGAUCUCAGGGAGGAGAGAUCCAGACAGAACCCGAGACCCAGACAGAAAGCCUAAGAAUCAGGGGCAUCUUUUCAGCUGGAUGCUACUAAGAAAGAGAGACGUGGGGAUCCCGCUCUCGGGAAAGUGUCGUGAUCAUCCCGGUGGGGCAGACGCUCUAUCUUGACCAUCUCUGGAUCCUCCCUUCGUGAAUCACCGCCCCCAUAGACAGAGAUGUCGAGAGUUCAUGACUGUUAAAAGGACAGGGGUGGACAGGCUGGAACAGGCUCUACUUUCGCUUUCUACAGCGCAGGGCUCCCCGCGGGACCUCAGAGAUGGGAGGCAGUGUGAAUCAGCUCCCUGGAGAAGUGGCACCCUGCAGCCCUGGUGUGAGCUAAGCCAGGGGACUGGAGCAGGCGUCUCCAAUUAUAGAAGCCUCGGGUAUUCCUUAAGAAAGCGACAGGCAAGACCAGUGGUUUCCUGUCCUGCCUGCGAUACCCGUGGGCUCAGACACUUCACGUUUAACCUAUGGGUGUUACAUGGCCACUUUUUAUUCAUUAAUCUUCUCAAUAUAACACUGGGGUGUGAGUGCUUGUCUUUUUCUUUCAUAUAUUUCUAGAAGUAUCGGUGAAAGGGUAGGGAAGGGAAAAUGCCACUCAGCCCUGUUCCCUGAAAUCUGUUGCUUGAGAGAAGUCAAGAUCGAGAAUGCUACGUAGAGCCAGUGAUCUGGCUGCAAUACGCACCGAUAAAUAGGCAAGAACGGCUUCGGUCUAUGGGAGGAAGGCAAGAAACAAGGCUGAUAAUUCGGUUUUAAACGGUCUUCAA